CUUCCUUCCUAGAUUCCCCAACUUUCUGACAAUCACUCAUUGUUUUAAUUUAAUAAUGCAAUUUUUUAGCUUUGUUUUUACAGCAUCUUGUUGUUCUCUUUAUAUCUUUUGAUCCCAUGGAAAGAGGAGCUAUUUUUCUCAGAGCCAAAGACGAGUUGCUGAAAUGGCUGCCAGCAGAACUGUGAUGUUAAAAAAAAAAAAUCUUGCAAACUGGAAAUGGUUGAGCCAGUGGGAGGUCUUUAACAUUCCUCCUACCCUAUCUACUUGGAUGCCAGUCUCCCUCCUCCUGAAGUGUGAGCUUUGUGAGUAUUAAAAUAGCCACCUUACCAAUCAUAUCUGAUGAAGAGUUCCUUCUAGCACAUGUGAUAUUUUAAGGACUUAAUAUUUACCCUCCUCCGUCAUGUUUCUGUGAUCCCUGUUGUCUUUUGCAGUUUAUGGGACUUGGAUGGGAACUCCUCAAAGCCUCAGGAAUCACUGCUGCACCGUACAAAAUGAUCCACCCUAAGCCUGUGCAAACCUCCUCUGAAGUGCUCCAAGCUUCUUCCUUACCUGUGCUGAUUGUCUCCAAAAUGUCCUUUCUGAGAUAUCUCCAGCUUAGUUUCUUCCCAUCCUUAGUCUCACAUCAUGGACAUUACUCAACUUAAUUGAAGAACAUCAAAGCUA
RNAcentral lists this long non-coding RNA (663 nucleotides) under Apteryx rowi (Okarito brown kiwi). RNAcentral describes it as "lncRNA (ENSARWG00000013880.1)". Lineage: Eukaryota; Metazoa; Chordata; Aves; Apterygiformes; Apterygidae. The record is from RNAcentral.